GCCCGCCUAGCUCAAUCGGAUAGAGCGUCAGACUCUUAUUGUGAGUGGCAAGGUGGUGAUCUGAAGGCUGCGAGUUCGACCCUCGCGGUGGGCU
Molecule: non-coding RNA, 94 nt
Organism: Earliella scabrosa
Lineage: Eukaryota; Fungi; Basidiomycota; Agaricomycetes; Polyporales; Polyporaceae
Source: the annotation of a GenBank genome assembly